AUACCUGGCUAAUUUUUGUAUUUUCAGUAGAGACAGGGUUUCCCCAUGUUGACCAGGCUGGUCUGGAACUCCUGACCUCAGGUGAUCCACCAGCCUCCCAAAGUGCUGGAUUAUAGGUGUGAGCCACCACACUCUGCCUUUUUUGUAGAGUUUUUAAAGAGAAAUCACACUAUGGAUGUAUGAAAGGAAGGACAUAUGUCUGCCUGAUUCUUUUUCUCCCACCUGAGUACUAAACAGCCCCCACCCUGCUCAGCUUCCGAGAUCAGGUGAGAUUGGGUUGGUUCGGGGUGGUACGGUCAGAUUCUGAUUCUCUUUCAUCUCCUGUUUCCCACCGGUCAAGAUUUACUCCAGGGAGAACUAAGGCCCCUUUCACUUCUAGGUGGCAUCAUCUAGCUCCUUCUCAGCUGCUCAGGUGCUGUGCCCCACUAUGUAGUAUUUCAUCUGUGAUACUGGGAAUGAGGCACCAACUAAGAGAAGACAGCAACUGAGGGAAUCUUGAAAAAGCGCAAGGUUUAUGUCCAAUACAGAGACUGGAGAGGUCUUCACUUUAAUAUUUCCAGGCUUGUGGACAGUGCCUGGAGUACGUGGGUCAUUCAUCUGAAUGGCUUUCAGAUUACACCAGGUGAGAGGACCCCUCUUGUGUGAAUACAGUGUGCCCAGUCUCUCUCCAUCGAGGCCCAUCACCAUCUUUCAGCUGGUUGCAGAUUAUCACUGGCAACUCCCGCAGAGGAACCUGUGGCCAUAUCUGCCCACUCUAGUCCCUCCGCAGAAGCUACAGGAGGAAUGCCCCUUACUGACCACCUGCCAGCAUACAUGAAUGAAACUUCAGGUCACACAGCUGCUGCCAUGGAGGUUAUAGAGAUCUUUUGGGAAAUGGAUGUGAAGGGCUCUGGAAUGUUCCUGAACUCACCUGCCAUUCCAGGGUGAGUUCUUGUGUGUUCAUGCAGAAGGCCUGAAUAUUCUGUUGUGGGCAUCUUUUUAUGUAAAAACAUUAUGCUGGGCCGGGCGUGGUGGCUCAAGCCUGUAAUCCCAGCACUUUGGGAGGCCGAGGCGGGUGGAUCACGAGGUCAACAGAUCGAGACCAUCCUGGUCAACAUGGUGAAACCCCGUCUCUACUAAAAAUUACAAAAAAUUAGCUGGGCACGGUGGUGCGUGCCUGUAAUCCCAGCUACUCAGGAGGCUGAGGCAGGAGAAUUGCCUGAACCCAGGGGGCGGAGGUUGCAGUGAGCCGAGAUUGCGCCAUUGCACUCCAGCCUGGGUAACAAGAGCGAAACUCCGUCUCAAAAAAAAAAAAAAAAAAAAAAAAACCAUUAUGCUGUACCCUCUACAAAUGUGUUCUAGUCAGUGCUAGACCUAUCUGCAAAAGUGUGGGCAGAGAAAAUGAGGUGAGGGUCUCUGAGAGAUUGGCACUGAACACUGGCUCGGGGGUUCUGUGGGACGAGAGCAGGGAUGGCUGGGAGGCGAACUCACUUCCAGGGC
Molecule: long non-coding RNA, 1479 nt
Filed under: Callithrix jacchus (white-tufted-ear marmoset)
Lineage: Eukaryota; Metazoa; Chordata; Mammalia; Primates; Cebidae
Description: lncRNA (ENSCJAG00000072142.1)
Source: RNAcentral